UCUUCACCAAAUUUCUCCUCCUCGUAAUCCUUCACUUGCAACAGCAUUAAGCGACCCAUCUUAGAGGAACAAUGAAAAAAGUAUCAAGAGUCUAAACAUGGCAACGGGCACUAAAAUAAGGUUUAACAACUAAUUAUCAUUCAACAGGACAUGUACAAUUUGUGGCUAAGAAUACCUCUUUAUUAAACAUCAAACCUACUGUGUCAACUUCUAUGAAGAGCAAAGAAGAUAGUCUUCUCUGGGGUGAAGUUGCUCUCAGAUAAAUUUCCAAACUUUGUUCAGAUUUUCAGAAAAAACAAAACAGAAAAAAAAGAUUGUAACAACUUCUAUGGAUAGUAUGUAAUUAUAAAAUCAUAAUUAAUGACAAGAUGGCUUUUGGAUGACUGCUUUCUCUGCUUUUUUACUCCUCCUUCUGCUCCAUCCUCUAAUAACUAUUAACUUAUAUUUGUGAUAAGAAAAUGAAAAUCAGUUGUAAAAAGAAAACAUUAUACAACAUGAUGUGAUGAAAUAAGAGGGGAAACAGAAAAGCCUUUGUCAGUACAACAACACACUGGAGAAAGAAAAAAAAUAAUUGUCUUAAACUUUAAAAUAGAAAUGCUAUUAUAAAAGUAAAUUGCCCAAAAUAGGAGCAAUAUGUUGGAGGCUGGAACUUCAUAAAGUUCCAGAAUUAAAUUUCCAGAUUUUCAAAACUUCUCCUUCCUUGCACUUACAAAGAGGAUGCUGAAGAAAACCAAAGAUAACACACAGAUUUAAUUUAAUUUAUUUGUCUCAAGAGUUUUAAAACUGAAGUAAAACUACUCUUGUUUCUCAAGCUAUGUUGGAUUUAAAUCCCUGGCAUAUAGAAGAAAUAACAAGUGGUAAAUAAUCUUAAAGUAAAUUUUUUUCAAGGGUUAUCAUUAUGUCUAGUGUGGCUGGAAAAAUAAAGAUUGUGUUGAGGAUCUCUGGAAGCUGAAAGUGGAUCUUUGGCACUAAUACUCCGGAUAAUGUGAAGAAAAAUGGGCACCAAUCAUUUGUAUUCUUUGACAUAGGGUCAUGGAUCUCUUCCAGUCCUACGCUCUGUAAAUAUGCUAAAAAGUAAAUAUGCCUCACUUCUGUCCUGAGAGUAUACAGAGUGCAUGUGCUCACAACAUACUGAAGUGACUUGCCUAGUGUCACACAAGUCAGGAGUGAAACCAGAAACUAAAUCUCCAAUUAAAGACACUCCAGACAAAAAUCCUAGACAAUCUUUACCUCAUUCCUCUAUAUAAAUGGAAGAAUUUUACGCCUGUGUAUUUCAAGUUGAAUGAUACACCAAAGAAGAAAGACAAGAAAGGGAAAAAAAGUACAGCAUGCCCAGAAGAACACAGAUAGGGUUUCAAAUACCUUUGAAGCUGAAGGAAGCAGUGGUGGAGAAAUAUUUUGAAGGUCAGAUAGAAGGUAAAUAAAUCAGGUAGAUGAAGGAAAGGAGUAUGAAGGUCAUAGGGAUAUUGGAAAAGAGGAGGACUGUCAGCUAAAGGGGAGAAAAAGAUGUCGACCUUGAGAAAAUGAGAUCAGGAAAGAAAGAAUGAAGAGGUUGGAGGAAAAAUGCUCCUGAACCAAAAUCCAAUAAAUAAGCUGGAAAAACACUUGUAACUUUAGUGGGUACUGUAUCACGCCAAACUUGACAGAAAAAAACAGGUAGA
Long non-coding RNA from Struthio camelus australis, 1661 nucleotides. RefSeq lists it as uncharacterized. The record is from RefSeq and is a predicted model, not a curated record. NCBI's taxonomy places the organism in Eukaryota, Metazoa, Chordata, Aves, Struthioniformes, Struthionidae.